RNAcentral lists this ribosomal RNA (468 nucleotides) under uncultured bacterium. RNAcentral describes it as "bacterial SSU rRNA". It matches the Rfam family "Bacterial small subunit ribosomal RNA", at positions 28 to 507 of the family's 1533-position model. The record is from RNAcentral.
GACGAACGCUGGCGGCGCGCCUAACACAUGCAAGUCGAACGAGAGAUGAGGAGCUUGCUCUUCAGAUCGAGUGGCGAACGGGUGAGUAACGCGUGAGGAACCUGCCUCAAAGAGGGGGACAACAGUUGGAAACGACUGCUAAUACCGCAUAAGCCCACGGCUCGGCAUCGAGCAGAGGGAAAAGGAGCAAUCCGCUUUGAGAUGGCCUCGCGUCCGAUUAGCUAGUUGGUGAGGUAACGGCCCACCAAGGCGACGAUCGGUAGCCGGACUGAGAGGUUGAACGGCCACACUGGAACUGAGACACGGUCCAGACUCCUACGGGAGGCAGCAGUGGGGAAUAUUGGUCAAUGGACGAGAGUCUGAUGCAGCGACGCCGCGUGAGCGAAGAAGUAUUUCGGUAUGUAAAGCUCUAUCAGCAGGGAGAAAAAAGUGACGGUACCUGACUAAGAAGCCCCGGCUAACUACGUG